GACGAACGCUGGCGGCGUGCUUAACACAUGCAAGUCGAACGGAAAGGCCCUGCUUUUGUGGGGUGCUCGAGGGGCGAACGGGUGAGUAACACGUGAGUAACCUGCCCUUGACUUUGGGAUAACUUCAGGAAACUGGGGCUAAUACCGGAUAGGAGCUCCUGCUGCAUGGUGGGGGUUGGAAAGUUUGGGCGGUUGGGGAUGGACUCGCGGCUUACCAGCUUGUUGGUGGGGUAGUGGCUGACCAAGGCUUUGACGGGUAGCUGGCCUGGGAGGGUGACCGGGCCCAUUGGGACUGGGAGACGGCCCAGACUCCUACGGGAGGCAGCGGUGGGGACUCUUGCACAGUGGGCGGACGCCUGAUGCAGGGACGCCGCGUGCGGGAUGACGGCCUUCGGGUUGUAAACCGCUUUCGCCUGUGACGAAGCGUGAGUGACGGUAAUGGGUAAAGAAGCACCGGCUAACUACGUG
RNAcentral lists this ribosomal RNA (468 nucleotides) under uncultured bacterium. RNAcentral's name for it is "partial 16S ribosomal RNA". It matches the Rfam family "Bacterial small subunit ribosomal RNA", at positions 28 to 507 of the family's 1533-position model. The record is from RNAcentral.